Molecule: ribosomal RNA, 505 nt
Filed under: uncultured bacterium
Lineage: Bacteria
Description: bacterial SSU rRNA
Rfam family: Bacterial small subunit ribosomal RNA
Source: RNAcentral
GGCUCAGGAUGAACGCUAGCGACAGGCUUAACACAUGCAAGGUCGAGGGGCAACGCGAGUAGCAAUACUUGGCGGCGACCGGCGCAAGGGUGCGUAACGCGUGAGCAACAUGCCCGUAUCAGGGGGAUAAUCCAGGGAAACUUGGUCUAAUACCCCAUAGUAAUUUUGUAAGGCAUCUUAUAAGAUUUAAAGCUUUGGUGGAUACGGAUUGGCUCGCGUGACAUUAGCUGGAUGGUAAGGUAACGGCUUACCAUGGCUAUGAUGUCUAGGGGUUCUGAGAGGAAGGUCCCCCACACUGGAACUGAGACACGGUCCAGACUCCUACGGGAGGCAGCAGUGAGGAAUAUUGGACAAUGGAUGGAAAUCUGAUCCAGCCAUGCCGCGUGAAGGAAAAGAAGGUCCUAUGGAUUGUAAACUUCUUUUGUAUGGGAGCAAUAAGGCCUACGAGUAGGUUGAUGAGAGUACCAUACGAAUAAGCACCGGCUAACUCCGUGCCAGCAGCCGC